Long non-coding RNA from Erinaceus europaeus (western European hedgehog), 455 nucleotides. RefSeq lists it as uncharacterized. The record is from RefSeq and is a predicted model, not a curated record. NCBI's taxonomy places the organism in Eukaryota, Metazoa, Chordata, Mammalia, Eulipotyphla, Erinaceidae. The transcript has 4 exons.
UUGCCUGCCCUCCAUUGAUCUUUCCUACCCUCAGCCUCGACUCACAGUCCAGCGAUGCAGAGGAGUAAAGGCUGGAAACAGCAUCCCAGCAGAGUUAGUGAAGAGGCUGGAAAUUCAAGAUCAAGGUCGCAGAUGGUUUCUGGCUCCUCUUGUUCUGAAUGUGUGUGUUGGUGCCAACAGCCUUCUCACUUCCAGGAAGGAAUGAGAUCCAGGGACAGGGCCAAAGUUCCCCUUUGUUGUUGAACUUGGGAAUUGACAAGAAAACAACAGCCACCAGGUUCCAGAUGCCAUCAGGAUGCCGGCCAGGCUUCCCUGGACUGACGACCCCACCAAUGUGUCCUGGAGCUCAGCUUCCCCAGAGACCCACCCUACUAGGGAAAGAGAGAGGCAGACUGGGAGUAUGGACCGACCAGUCAACGCCCAUGUUCAGCGGGGAAGCAAUUACAAAAGUCAGA